GCAAGUCGAGGGGUAACAUUGUGCUUGCACAGAUGACGACCGGCGCACGGGUGCGUAACGCGUAUACAAUCUGCCUUUUGCUAAGGGAUAGCCCAGAGAAAUUUGGAUUAAUACCUUAUAGUAUGUUUAGUUCGCAUGGGCUGAAUAUUAAAGAUUACGGCAAGAGAUGAGUAUGCGUCCUAUUAGCUAGAUGGAGUGGUAACGGCACCCCAUGGCGACGAUAGGUAGGGGCCCUGAGAGGGGGAUC
Molecule: ribosomal RNA, 247 nt
Filed under: uncultured bacterium
Lineage: Bacteria
Description: partial 16S ribosomal RNA
Rfam family: Bacterial small subunit ribosomal RNA
Source: RNAcentral